This 53-nucleotide transfer RNA is filed under the name Betula alnoides. RNAcentral describes it as "partial tRNA-Phe". The record is from RNAcentral. Lineage: Eukaryota; Viridiplantae; Streptophyta; Magnoliopsida; Fagales; Betulaceae.
UGGUCGGGAUAGCUCAGCUGGUAAAGCAAAGGACUGAAAAUCCUCGUGCCACC